Vicia faba (fava bean) is the source of this 351-nucleotide non-coding RNA. NCBI's taxonomy places the organism in Eukaryota, Viridiplantae, Streptophyta, Magnoliopsida, Fabales, Fabaceae. The record is from the annotation of a GenBank genome assembly.
AUGAUACCAAAAGACCCAACCUUUAUUUCACAUUUUUAUGAAAUUUUUACAGUCCAAGAAUAUCCUGGGUACAAAUUCAUUGGUCUAACAUAUGGGCCUGGAGGUGAUAAUCAAAAGCGAUUAGAGAAGGAAAUUGGUGCCAAGAUAAAAAUUCGUGGAACCAAAGCAGACACAGGAGAGAAAAGUGAAAUUAAACCAGCUGCUAGUUCCACACCUUCUGUAUCUGUCUUUGGGGACAGCACUAAUGGUCUAAAUCAAAACCAAGAUCCCCCAUCUCAUGCAAUUUCUCUAUCUCUGUCAAACCGGGCUGUGUUUCAACCAGCAGCCACUACACAAAUGCAGAGGACGUAA